This 283-nucleotide long non-coding RNA is filed under the name Zea mays. Its description in RNAcentral is "long non-coding RNA (ZMAY_LNC001094)". Lineage: Eukaryota; Viridiplantae; Streptophyta; Magnoliopsida; Poales; Poaceae. The record is from RNAcentral.
UUCUUUUCCCUUACUAUGUUUGAACUAGAACCCAAUAUAUGUAGCAUAGGGAGAAAAAACAACAUCAUGUCAUCAUCAUCAUCAUCUCUCCUCUGUCUAAGGUGAUCUCUUAGUGCCACAUCCAUUGCUAACUAAAACGAAAUUCAUGACAGAAAAUAAACACCAACAAAAAUAGAACAUGGUGUAAUAAAGAACAUUUAGAAUAUAACAAGUACCUAAAGGAGAGGAUAUAGGGUCCCAAGACGGUGGAAGUUCGUCUUCUCCAACUCGAACUGGUGCAGGG